RNAcentral lists this ribosomal RNA (515 nucleotides) under uncultured bacterium. RNAcentral describes it as "partial 16S ribosomal RNA". It matches the Rfam family "Bacterial small subunit ribosomal RNA", at positions 28 to 523 of the family's 1533-position model. The record is from RNAcentral.
GAUGAACGCUGGCGGCGUGCCUAAUACAUGCAAGUCGAGCGAAUGGAUUAAGAGCUUGCUCUUAUGAAGUUGGCGGCGGACGGGUGAGUAACACGUGGGUAACCUGCCCAUAAGACUGGGAUAACUCCGGGAAACCGGGGCUAAUACCGGAUAACAUUUUGAACCGCAUGGUUCGAAAUUGAAAGGCGGCUUCGGUUGUCAAUUAUGUAUGAACCCGGGUCGCAUUAGCUAGUUGGUGAGGUAACGGCUCACCAAGGCAACGAUGCGUAGCCGACCUGAGGGGGUGAUCGGCAACACUGGGACUGAGACACGGCCCAGACUCCUACGGGAGGCAGCAGUAGGGAAUCUUCCGCAAUGGACGAAAGUCUGACGGAGCAACGCCGCGUGAGGGAUGAAGGCUUUCGGGUCGUAAAACUCUGUUGUUAGGGAAGAACAAGUGCUAGUUGAAUAAGCUGGCACCUUGACGGUACCUAACCAGAAAGCCACGGCUAACUACGUGCCAGCAGCCGCAGUAA